UACAGAGGUCUCAAGCGUUUGUUCGGAUUCAUUGGGCGUAAAGGGUGCGUAGGUGGCGCGGAAAGUCGGGUGUGAAAUUUCGGAGCUUAACUCCGAAACUGCAUUCGAUACUUCCGUGCUUGAGGACUGGAGAGGAGACUGGAAUUUACGGUGUAGCAGUGAAAUGCGUAGAGAUCGUAAGGAAGACCAGUGGGGAAGGCGGAUCUCUGGACAGUUCCUGACACUGAGGCACGAAGGCCAGGGGAGCAAACGGG
RNAcentral lists this ribosomal RNA (254 nucleotides) under uncultured bacterium. Its description in RNAcentral is "partial 16S ribosomal RNA". It matches the Rfam family "Bacterial small subunit ribosomal RNA", at positions 524 to 776 of the family's 1533-position model. The record is from RNAcentral.